RNAcentral lists this unclassified non-coding RNA (239 nucleotides) under Hevea brasiliensis (rubber tree). The record is from RNAcentral. Lineage: Eukaryota; Viridiplantae; Streptophyta; Magnoliopsida; Malpighiales; Euphorbiaceae.
UUUUGUAUGACAAACGGGACAGUCAAAUACGAUUUCAAUAGGUUUAAAAUGUAUUCUAUGAUUAUUUUGUACUGUUAAUUUGUAUCUAAAAGAUGGGAAAAGGCUUAAAUAUGUCAUCGAAAAAGGCUUAUAUAUGUCAUUAAUUAAAAGUUUGGCUCAUUUAUGUCAUUAUCGUUAAAGAAAUUCAUGCUAUUAUUUUUUAACUAUGGUUUUGUGAAACUAUUUUUGAUACGUAGAAA